Molecule: non-coding RNA, 2524 nt
Organism: Camellia sinensis
Lineage: Eukaryota; Viridiplantae; Streptophyta; Magnoliopsida; Ericales; Theaceae
Source: RefSeq, a predicted model, not a curated record
UUUUUUUUAAUAUUUUGAUCGGGGAAUUUUCGGGGUUGGGGAAAUCUGAUCCCUGUUAGGGGGCGGAGAUGGGGGCGGUGGUAGACGCCCCGUCGGGGAUCGGGGUCGGGGACAGGGAAAAUUCUACAAUUGGGGAUCGGGGACGGAGAGUGAUCACCGGCCUCGCCGCACCCCGCCCCGUUGCCAUUCCUACAACCAAGGCAAUUUUGAUGAUUCCUACCAAAGUGAUCAAUCUAAACAAUUGUCUUUCCAUUAUUUAUUGUUUCCCGAAAUGUGACCCAAUUUAUUUUCAAGACUGUGUGAUCAAAUCUCAACUUCAAUUUUUUUUUUUCAAAACCCUUUUUCAAAAUAAAGUGCCUUUUAUUUAUUUAAAUUCUGAAAGUUUUCCAUCCCUCUUAUUUUUCAAAUGUUUUGAGGAGUUCGGAUUUUAUUCCAAGGAAUCAAUCAAACAAUCAUCCACCAGCCAAAUAUCUUAUAGAGGAACCAAAAUUUUAUUCAGAAUGAAAGACUUGGCCAUCACUUCCUUGUCUAACAUUUCUCCAUAAAAUUAAGGUUCCCUCAAAGUCAGUGGCACAAAGAUUUUCACUCGACGGACAGAACUUUUCAUAAUUUCCGAACUCUACUCAAAUUUAAAUUUCAAAAAAUUUCCAAGGAAUUUAACAUCUUAUUUGAAGAAAUCAAUCAAACAGUUACCUUAUAGUCAAAUGUCUUCAAAGGAAAUUCAAAAUUUCAUUUCAAAGUGAAAGACUCGGUCAUUACCUCCUCAUCAAACACUUUUCCAUGAAAUCAAAUUCCCUCUAAAGUCGAAAAACCAAAAGAUUCCAGUCUGAUCAAAAGCAUUUCAUAAUUUCUAAAAUUCUACUCAGGUUUUCUUUCAAAAUUCUUUCCUUCCAAGGAGCUUCGGAUUUUAUUCCAAGUAUCUAAUCAAACAAUUGUCUCCUUAGUCAAUUAUCGUUUGGGGGAUUUGGAGUUUUUUUCAAAAUGGAAGAUGCGGUCACCACUUCCUUAUCUACCAUUUUUCAUAAAAGUUGAAAUUCCCACUAAAGUCAAUGACUUAAAGAUUCUUAUUCAAUCAAACACCUUCCAUAACCUCCAAGACUCUACUUAAGUUGGAAACUUUCUUUUUCCUAGAAGUUUUUCUUUCAAAACAUGUUUUAUUGGGGAUUUAAAUUUUAAAAAGGCAAAAAUUCUUCUCUUUUGAUCACUAAGGUAAGAACCCAAAUUCAAACUCAAAUUCUUUAAAAUUGGGAAAUAACCCCAAUAAUCUACUACUGAUUACUCAAAUCAUUAUCAGAAUACGAAUCACAGCCUAAAUUGAACACCCAAAUCUCUGUAAUUGGAUCAUUGCCCCAAAUAACUCGGAUUGCAGCAGAAUCAAAUCACUGCCAUAUCAGACUUCCCAGAUUUUCGGAAAGAAAUCACUGUCUUUCUCAUUGUUGAUCUCAGGAAUCAAAUCAAAUCAAAUCAGUUUCAAAAUAUCACACAAGCACAUAGUUUGCAUUCGUGCCUAUCGGGGGUUAGGGUUGCCCUGUCCUAAUUUAGAAAUGAGAUCUACGAUUCGCUAAAUCAUUCAAAGAGGCAAAUAAUACAAUCCUAGAAAAAAGGGUAUCCUGCCCUAGUUUGGAAGGUGCUAAUGAUCUCUAAAUGCAAAAGGUAAGUUUGGUCAUAAAAAGCCACAUCAGUUAUUACUGUCAAUGUACCACUCCUUCCGCAAGGAAAUGAUCAAACAAUACUAGCAGCAUAAUUUGAUGCUUGCCUCGUUCACAUAACAUAACCCACGAAUAGUGUACGAGAUAUUAUGCAGCAAACCUGAGGAUAGGUGAAUGGACCCAGCCAAUUUUAUUUAACACUUGCCAUCGGAUCUCGAGGUCAUUAUAAUCACCCAUUGGGUGAUAGUUGCCCAACCAAGGCAAUUUUGAGGAAUUUUAACGAUUCCUACCAGAGUGAUCAAUACAAUUGUCUUUCCAUUAUUUAUUGUUCCCCGAAAUGUGACCCAAUUUAUUUUCAAGUGUGUGAUCAAAUCUCAACUUCAAUUUUCUUUUUUUUUUUCAAAACCCUUUUUCAAAAUAAAGUGCCAUUUUUUUAUUUAAAUUCUUAAAGUUUUCCAUUCCUCUUUUUUUCCAAAUGUUAUGAGGAGUUCGGAUUUUAUUACAAGGAAUCAAUCAAACAGUCAUCCUCUAGCCAAAUAUCUUAUAGAGGAAUCAAAAUUUUAUUCAGAAUGAGAGACUUGGUCAUCACUUCCUUGUCUAACAUUUCUCCAAAAAUUUAAGGUUCUCUCAAAGUCAGUGGCCCAAAGAUUUUCACUCGAUGGAUAGAACUUUUCAUAAUUUCCGAACUCUACUCAAAUUUUAUUUUCAAAAAAUUUCAAAGGAAUUUAACAUCUUAUUUGACGAAAUCAAUCAAACAAUUACCUUCUAGUCAAAUGUCUUCUAAGGAAAUUCAAAAUUUCAUUUCAAAGUGAAAGACUCGGUCAUUACCUCCUCAUCAAACACUUUUCCAUAAAAUCAAAUUCCCUCUAAAGUCA